This 354-nucleotide non-coding RNA is filed under the name Lepisosteus oculatus (spotted gar). Its description in RNAcentral is "Eukaryotic large subunit ribosomal RNA". It matches the Rfam family "Eukaryotic large subunit ribosomal RNA", at positions 2785 to 3168 of the family's 3401-position model. Lineage: Eukaryota; Metazoa; Chordata; Actinopteri; Semionotiformes; Lepisosteidae. The record is from Rfam by way of RNAcentral.
UCAAUGUUUAAUCAGGCUGACCAUGAAACAUCACUAUCAGGGACAACUGGUUUAAGGAGGCUAAGUAUUCAUAGCAAUGUCAAUUUUUGAUCUUUCACUGUCAGCUCUUAAAAGCUCCUAUCAUAGUGAAGCACUAAUGAGGAACAUGAGCUGGCUUUACAUCAUCACGAGACAGGUUAGUUUUACACUACUGAUGAUGUGUUGCUGCAAUAGUAAUAUUGGUCAGUACAAGAGGAAGCAAAGGUUUCAAACAUUUGCCUCUGUUCUUGGCUGAGAUGGUGUAAAGCUAACAUCUGUGGGAUCAUGACUGAAUGCCUGUAAUUCUGAAUUUCACUUUAAGGGUUCACCUUUGCC